Molecule: ribosomal RNA, 1943 nt
Filed under: Staphylococcus aureus F54494
Lineage: Bacteria; Bacillati; Bacillota; Bacilli; Caryophanales; Staphylococcaceae
Description: bacterial LSU rRNA
Rfam family: Bacterial large subunit ribosomal RNA
Source: RNAcentral
ACCCGGAGAACUGAAACAUCUUAGUACCCGGAGGAAGAGAAAGAAAAUUCGAUUCCCUUAGUAGCGGCGAGCGAAACGGGAAGAGCCCAAACCAAAAAGCUUGCUUGUUGGGGUUGUAGGACACUCUAUACGGAGUUACAAAGGACGACAUUAGACGAAUCAUCUGGAAAGAUGAAUCAAAGAAGGUAAUAAUCCUGUAGUCGAAAAUGUUGUCUCUCUUGAGUGGAUCCUGAGUACGACGGAGCACGUGAAAUUCCGUCGGAAUCUGGGAGGACCAUCUCCUAAGGCUAAAUACUCUCUAGUGACCGAUAGUGAACCAGUACCGUGAGGGAAAGGUGAAAAGCACCCCGGAAGGGGAGUGAAAUAGAACCUGAAACCGUGUGCUUACAAGUAGUCAGAGCCCGUUAAUGGGUGAUGGCGUGCCUUUUGUAGAAUGAACCGGCGAGUUACGAUUUGAUGCAAGGUUAAGCAGUAAAUGUGGAGCCGUAGCGAAAGCGAGUCUGAAUAGGGCGUUUAGUAUUUGGUCGUAGACCCGAAACCAGGUGAUCUACCCUUGGUCAGGUUGAAGUUCAGGUAACACUGAAUGGAGGACCGAACCGACUUACGUUGAAAAGUGAGCGGAUGAACUGAGGGUAGCGGAGAAAUUCCAAUCGAACCUGGAGAUAGCUGGUUCUCUCCGAAAUAGCUUUAGGGCUAGCCUCAAGUGAUGAUUAUUGGAGGUAGAGCACUGUUUGGACGAGGGGCCCCUCUCGGGUUACCGAAUUCAGACAAACUCCGAAUGCCAAUUAAUUUAACUUGGGAGUCAGAACAUGGGUGAUAAGGUCCGUGUUCGAAAGGGAAACAGCCCAGACCACCAGCUAAGGUCCCAAAAUAUAUGUUAAGUGGAAAAGGAUGUGGCGUUGCCCAGACAACUAGGAUGUUGGCUUAGAAGCAGCCAUCAUUUAAAGAGUGCGUAAUAGCUCACUAGUCGAGUGACACUGCGCCGAAAAUGUACCGGGGCUAAACAUAUUACCGAAGCUGUGGAUUGUCCUUUGGACAAUGGUAGGAGAGCGUUCUAAGGGCGUUGAAGCAUGAUCGUAAGGACAUGUGGAGCGCUUAGAAGUGAGAAUGCCGGUGUGAGUAGCGAAAGACGGGUGAGAAUCCCGUCCACCGAUUGACUAAGGUUUCCAGAGGAAGGCUCGUCCGCUCUGGGUUAGUCGGGUCCUAAGCUGAGGCCGACAGGCGUAGGCGAUGGAUAACAGGUUGAUAUUCCUGUACCACCUAUAAUCGUUUUAAUCGAUGGGGGGACGCAGUAGGAUAGGCGAAGCGUGCGAUUGGAUUGCACGUCUAAGCAGUAAGGCUGAGUAUUAGGCAAAUCCGGUACUCGUUAAGGCUGAGCUGUGAUGGGGAGAAGACAUUGUGUCUUCGAGUCGUUGAUUUCACACUGCCGAGAAAAGCCUCUAGAUAGAAAAUAGGUGCCCGUACCGCAAACCGACACAGGUAGUCAAGAUGAGAAUUCUAAGGUGAGCGAGCGAACUCUCGUUAAGGAACUCGGCAAAAUGACCCCGUAACUUCGGGAGAAGGGGUGCUCUUUAGGGUUAACGCCCAGAAGAGCCGCAGUGAAUAGGCCCAAGCGACUGUUUAUCAAAAACACAGGUCUCUGCUAAACCGUAAGGUGAUGUAUAGGGGCUGACGCCUGCCCGGUGCUGGAAGGUUAAGAGGAGUGGUUAGCUUCUGCGAAGCUACGAAUCGAAGCCCCAGUAAACGGCGGCCGUAACUAUAACGGUCCUAAGGUAGCGAAAUUCCUUGUCGGGUAAGUUCCGACCCGCACGAAAGGCGUAACGAUUUGGGCACUGUCUCAACGAGAGACUCGGUGAAAUCAUAGUACCUGUGAAGAUGCAGGUUACCCGCGACAGGACGGAAAGACCCCGUGGAGCUUUACUGUAGCCUGAUAUUGAAAUUCG